AGUCGAACGCGAAAGCCCCGCAGGGGUAAGUAGAGUGGCAAACGGGUGAGUAACACGUGGGUGACCUGCCUUCGAGUGGGGGAUAACGUCCCGAAAGGGACGCUAAUACCGCAUGACAUCCUGCUYUUGGAMRAGCGGAGAUCAAAGCYGGGGAUCGCAAGACCUGGCGCUUGAAGAGGGGCCCGCGYCUGAUUAGCUAGUUGGURRGGUAACGGCYYACCAAGGCRACGAUCAGUAUCCGGCCUGAGAGGGCGGACGGACACACUGGGACUGAGACACGGCCCAGACUCCUACGGGAGGCAGCAGUGGGGAAUUGUUCGCAAUGGGCGCAAGCCUGACGACGCAACGCCGCGUGGAGGACGAAGAUCUUCGGGUCGUAAACUCCUGUCGAGUGGGAAGAAUGCUUCGGGGAUGAAUAAUCCCCGGAAUUGACGGUACCACUAAAGGAAGCCCCGGCUAACUCCGUGCCAGCAGCCGCGGUAAUACGGGGGGGGCAAGCGUUGUUCGGAAUUACUGGGCGUAAAGGGCUCGUAGGCGGCCAACUAAGUCGGAUGUGAAAUCCCCAGGCUUAACCUGGGAACUGCAUCCGAUACUGGAUGGCUUGAAUUCGGGAGAGGGAUGCAGAAUUCCAGGUGUAGCGGUGAAAUGCGUAGAUAUCUGGAGGAAUACCGGUGGCGGAGGCGGCAUCCUGGACCGACAUUGACGCUGAGGAGCGAAAGCUAGGGGAGCAAACGGGAUUAGAUACCCCGGUAGUCCUAGCCCUAAACGAUGAAUGCUUGGUGUGG
This 785-nucleotide ribosomal RNA is filed under the name uncultured bacterium. Its description in RNAcentral is "bacterial SSU rRNA". It matches the Rfam family "Bacterial small subunit ribosomal RNA", at positions 60 to 825 of the family's 1533-position model. The record is from RNAcentral.